This 497-nucleotide ribosomal RNA is filed under the name uncultured bacterium. RNAcentral describes it as "partial 16S ribosomal RNA". It matches the Rfam family "Bacterial small subunit ribosomal RNA", at positions 28 to 507 of the family's 1533-position model. The record is from RNAcentral.
GAUGAACGCUGGCGGCGUGCCUAAUACAUGCAAGUCGAGCGAACAGACGAGGAGCUUGCUCCUCUGACGUUAGCGGCGGACGGGCGAGUAACACGUGGAUAACCUACCUAUAAGACUGGGAUAACUUCGGGAAACAGGAGCCAAUACUGGAUAAUAUAUCGAACCGCAUGGUUCAAUAGUGAAAGACGCUUUUGCUGUCACUUAUAGAUGGAUUCGCGCCGCAUUAGCUAGUUGGUAAGGUAACGGCUUACCAAGGCAACGAUGCGUAGCUGACCUGAGAGGGUGAUCAGCCACACUGGAACUGAGACACGGUCCAGACUCCUACGGGAGGCAGCAGUAGGGAAUCUUGCACAAUGGGCGAAAGCCUGACGGAGCAACACCGCGUGAGUGAUGAAGGUCUUCGGGUCGUAAAACUCUGUUGUUAGGAAAGAAAAAAUGUAUAUGUAUCUAUGCACGUCUUGACGGUACCUAAUCAGAAAGCCACGGCUAACUUCGUG